CCUACCUACAUCAGGGGGAUAGCCCUAGGAAACUGGGAUUAACACCGCAUAACAAUAGAGUUGGCAUCAACUUUAUUUGAAAUAUUUAUAGGAUGUAGAUGGGCAUGCGUAGGAUUAGCUAGUUGGUAAGGUAACGGCUUACCAAGGCUACGAUCCUUAGGGGCUCUGAGAGGAGUAUCCCCCACACUGGCACUGAGAUACGGGCCAGACUCCUACGGGAGGCAGCAGUAGGGAAUAUUGGGCAAUGGAGGCAACUCUGACCCAGCCAUGCCGCGUGCAGGAAGACGGUCCUCUGGAUUGUAAACUGCUUUUGAAUGGGAAGAAUGUGCUCCUUGCGAGGGGUAAUGACGGUACCAUUAGAAUAAGCCACGGCUAACUACGUGCCAGCAGCCGCGGUAAUACGUAGGUGGCGAGCGUUAUCCGGAUUUAUUGGGUUUAAAGGGUGCGUAGGCGGCUUAAUAAGUCGGUGGUUAAAAGUAGCAGCUUAACUGUUUUACAUGCCAUCGAUACUGUUGAGCUUGAGAUAUUUGGAGGCAGCUAGAAUUUCCGGUGUAGCGGUGAAAUGCAUAGAUACCGGAAGGAAUACCAAUUGCGAAGGCAGGUUGCUACGAAUAAACUGACGCUGAUGCACGAAAGCGUGGGGAUCAAACAGGAUUAGAUACCCUGGUAGUCCACGCCGUAAACGAUGAUUACUAGUUGUUGGGGUUUAAGCUUCAGUGAC
Molecule: ribosomal RNA, 721 nt
Filed under: uncultured Bacteroidota bacterium
Lineage: Bacteria; Pseudomonadati; Bacteroidota
Description: bacterial SSU rRNA
Rfam family: Bacterial small subunit ribosomal RNA
Source: RNAcentral